UGUAUCUGCAAUUUAAAGAAAAAUGUGGCUAAAAACCUGUCUGCACUGUGUUGGUCGACCUUUUUGUCUCGCUGCUUGCAAAACUUGUGUCUUUAUCUGAGAAGGGUCAGAGACUCUGUGUGUUUUCAGUUCUCUCACAGGGACGUGUGGUGAAGCAGCUCCUCCAAACACUCGUCUGUGCAGUCUGUAGAGACGGGAGAGAAGAGGAUGGAGAGUUUUAACAGCUCAUCUUCCACUUAUACGAAUGAUAUCAAGUUGGCUUUGCUGGUAGCGACGGUGCUGGCAAAGCAGAUGUUGUGGUGAGAUUCCUGACAAAACAAUUUAUUGGACAGUAAUGCUUCCAGUGCCAGUAUUUUUCUGCAGUAGGUUGGAGAAGAAGUUGUUAGAUCAGUUGAUGGACGAUGUGCUGCGUUUGAUCUCUGCAUCCACUUCUGCUGUGUCUGAGUGGAAGCAGCAGGUGUGUGUCCUGGAGGAGCCUGCAUGUGAACUGGGCAGAUGGAUUUGUGGUGGCAUACAACUUCACUGACCGACUGUCCUUCCUGCACACCAGAAGCAUCAUGCGGCAGAUCAAAGAGAGCUGUGAGGGACUGGUGGAUGUCCCGGGGGCCGAUCCUCAGGCUCAGGAAGACUACUGCCUCUUCCUGGAAGGGUCUGCAGCUGAGGACUACUUGUGAUGUUCAACCUCUCCACAAAACUGAUUUGUCACGUGAUGGAGAACCUGAAGCACCGUGCAGACGAUGCAAUGGCUCCAAGUCCAUGGAAAAACUCACCAAUAUGGUUGGCAAAAGACGGAAGUCAGUCUGAUGGAGGAAAUCUGUGGCUACUAAUUAUAAUGCAUGUAACUAAACUGUUUGUUUGGAUACCCCAGGCAUUUUCUAUUGGUCAACAAAUAUGUGGACCAAUACCAAAAUACCAUUUUUAAUGAAAUUGAAUGACAUCUCACAUUUGGAAAAUGAUGAUACAUAAUUUCAACUUUCAGUUUUUGUUUUGUCCUCAGAGGGCAAUUGGAUUUACAGCAAGAUGUACUACAAUACAUGAAAAAGCAUAGGCAUACAGUACAGUAAGGGGAAGGGGAGAUGUCCUGAAUACAAGUGGGCUAGAAAUCCAACACUAGUCACUUGUGUCCGACUCACAUUUUCACAGUGGCAAAAGCACAGCAGCAAUAACAUUAGCAUUAUACCUCCAAAACCCCCUUUUCCAUUGAAAUUUCAAUGUUCUUCUUAAGGAUAUAAAUCCAAAAUUAGGCUCUCAAAAACUGUCAAGAUCAAAUGUUUCAGUUCAGUUGGUAUGAAGACAAUUUGAUAUCUCCCUAUCAAAUUGAAUCAAAUGAAACACUGUGGGAUCAAAAGCCAAAUGUCAAUGAUUUCACAGCAUGUAAUAUUUCUCUGUUGUAAUUAUGAUUUCUGAAACACUCAAAGGUCAGUGUUUGAGAUAAAAUGUAGAUUUCAUGGUACAAACAGGUGGCAGGUGGUAUGCUCGUAUUCAUAAUUUUGGCAGCGAGCAACAUUGUUUUUGCUGUUUGCUCUGUUUUUUUUGUACGUUUCAUAACUUUCUUAAAAGGUUGUAAUCGGAAGUACUCUCACAAAUAAAUAAUUUUGCAAUUUGCAGUUAGUAGCCUAAUUACAGCAUGCAACAUGCUUUGUUUGUUAAUGUAGAAAAAAAGGGAAGCUGUAUCCAGUAGGCCUACUGGAAAGCAGAUGUUAGUCUAGUAGACUUUAAUUAAAAUAUGGUUUUCUAUGGUGCAGUUAAAUGUCAUGCCAAGAUUAAAAUCCAGGCUGCCCAAAUAAGAGUUAUGGUUGAAGAUCUACAUAGCCCCCUUCUACUAAUCACUUUAAAUUGCAUGCAAACAGCUCAAUUUUAACCUAAAUGGAGCUGG
This is a long non-coding RNA of Sebastes umbrosus (honeycomb rockfish), 1876 nucleotides long. RefSeq lists it as uncharacterized. The transcript has 4 exons. Lineage: Eukaryota; Metazoa; Chordata; Actinopteri; Perciformes; Sebastidae. The record is from RefSeq and is a predicted model, not a curated record.